GUGGAUUAGAUACUCUGGUAGUCCACGCCCUAAACGAUGAAUACUCGAUGUUGGCGAUAUACGGUCAGCGUCUAAGCGAAAGCGUUAAGUAUUCCACCUGGGGAGUACGCCCGCAAGGGUGAAACUCAAAGGAAUUGACGGGGGCCCGCACAAGCGGAGGAGCAUGUGGUUUAAUUCGAUGAUACGCGAGGAACCUUACCCGGGCUUGAAAGUUAGUGAAUGAGACAGAGACGUCUCAGUCCUUCGGGACACGAAACUAGGUGCUGCACGGUCGUCGCCAGCU
This 283-nucleotide ribosomal RNA is filed under the name uncultured bacterium. RNAcentral describes it as "partial 16S ribosomal RNA". It matches the Rfam family "Bacterial small subunit ribosomal RNA", at positions 773 to 1060 of the family's 1533-position model. The record is from RNAcentral.